GACGAACGCUGGCGGCGUGCUUAACACAUGCAAGUCGAACGGAGAGGCCCUGCUUUUGUGGGGUGCUCGAGUGGCGAAAGGGUGAGUAACACGUGAGUAACCUGCCCUUGACUUUGGGAUAACUUCAGGAAACUGGGGCUAAUACCGGAUAGGAGCUCCUGCUGCAUGGUGGGGGUUGGAAAGUUUCGGCGGUUGGGGAUGGACUCGGGUCGUAUCAGCUUGUUGGUGGGGUAGUGGCUUACCAAGGCUUUGACGGGUAGCCGGCCUGAGAGGGUGACCGGCCACAUUGGGACUGAGAUACGGCCCAGACUCCUACGGGAGGCAGCAGUGGGGAAUAUUGCACAAUGGGCGGAAGCCUGAUGCAGCAACGCCGCGUGCGGGAGGACGGCCUUCGGGUUGUAAACCGCUUUCGCCUGUGACGAAGCGUGAGUGACGGUAAUGGGUAAAGAAGCACCGGCUAACUACGUG
RNAcentral lists this ribosomal RNA (468 nucleotides) under uncultured bacterium. Its description in RNAcentral is "partial 16S ribosomal RNA". It matches the Rfam family "Bacterial small subunit ribosomal RNA", at positions 28 to 507 of the family's 1533-position model. The record is from RNAcentral.